AUUGAACGCUGGCGGCAUGCCUUACACAUGCAAGUCGAACGGCAGCACGGGUGCUUGCACCUGGUGGCGAGUGGCGAACGGGUGAGUAAUACAUCGGAACAUGUCCUGUAGUGGGGGAUAGCCCGGCGAAAGCCGGAUUAAUACCGCAUACGAUCUACGGAUGAAAGCGGGGGACCUUCGGGCCUCGCGCUAUAGGGUUGGCCGAUGGCUGAUUAGCUAGUUGGGGGGGUAAAGGCCUACCAAGGCGACGAUCAGUAGCUGGUCUGAGAGGACGACCAGCCACACUGGGACUGAGACACGGCCCAGACUCCUACGGGAGGCAGCAGUGGGGAAUUUUGGACAAUGGGCGAAAGCCUGAUCCAGCAAUGCCGCGUGUGUGAAGAAGGCCUUCGGUUUGUAAAGCACUUUUGUCCGGAAAGAAAUCCUUGGCCCUAAUACGGUCGGGGGAUGACGGUACCGGAAGAAUAAGCACCGGCUAACUACGUG
This 486-nucleotide ribosomal RNA is filed under the name uncultured bacterium. RNAcentral's name for it is "partial 16S ribosomal RNA". It matches the Rfam family "Bacterial small subunit ribosomal RNA", at positions 30 to 507 of the family's 1533-position model. The record is from RNAcentral.